AGAUUGAACGCUGGCGGAAUGCUUUACACAUGCAAGUCGAACGGCAGCACGGGGGCAACCCUGGUGGCGAGUGGCGAACGGGUGAGUAAUACAUCGGAACGUGCCCAGUCGUGGGGGAUAACUACGCGAAAGCGUAGCUAAUACCGCAUACGAUCUACGGAUGAAAGCGGGGGAUCGCAAGACCUCGCGCGAUUGGAGCGGCCGAUGGCAGAUUAGGUAGUUGGUGGGGUAAAGGCUCACCAAGCCGUCGAUCUGUAGCUGGUCUGAGAGGACGACCACGCCACA
This 285-nucleotide ribosomal RNA is filed under the name uncultured soil bacterium. RNAcentral describes it as "partial 16S ribosomal RNA". It matches the Rfam family "Bacterial small subunit ribosomal RNA", at positions 26 to 312 of the family's 1533-position model. The record is from RNAcentral.